RNAcentral lists this ribosomal RNA (245 nucleotides) under uncultured bacterium. RNAcentral's name for it is "partial 16S ribosomal RNA". It matches the Rfam family "Bacterial small subunit ribosomal RNA", at positions 524 to 768 of the family's 1533-position model. The record is from RNAcentral.
UACAUGGGGUGCAAACGUUGCUCGGAAUUAUUGGGCGUAAAGCGCACGUAGGUGGUCACUUAAGUCGGAUGUGAAAGCCCUCGGCUCAACUGAGGAAGUGCAUCCGAAACUGAGUGGCUGGAGUACGGAAGAGGGUCGCGGAAUUCCCGGUGUAGAGGUGAAAUUCGUAGAUAUCGGGAGGAACACCGGUGGCGAAGGCGGCGACCUGGGCCGAUACUGACACUGAGGUGCGAAAGCGUGGGGAG